RNAcentral lists this unclassified non-coding RNA (244 nucleotides) under plant metagenome. Its description in RNAcentral is "partial contains small subunit ribosomal RNA and internal transcribed spacer 1". The stretch from base 1 to 46 matches the Rfam family "Eukaryotic small subunit ribosomal RNA", at positions 1786 to 1831 of the family's 1831-position model. The record is from RNAcentral.
AAGUCGUAACAAGGUCUCCGUUGGUGAACCAGCGGAGGGAUCAUUGCUGGAACAAACGCCCUCACGGGUGCUACCCAGAAACCCUUUGUGAACUUAUUCUCAAAAAUGUUGCCUCGGCAGUGACUGGCUUCUUUCCGGAGGUCCCUUCUUUGCUUCAAAGAAGGAGCAGGUCGGCCGGUGGCCCCUACCAAACUCUUGUUUUUACACUGUAUCUUCUGAGUACACAACUAUAAAUGAAUCAAAA